This 983-nucleotide long non-coding RNA is filed under the name Nicotiana benthamiana. RNAcentral describes it as "long non-coding RNA (NBEN_LNC010848)". Lineage: Eukaryota; Viridiplantae; Streptophyta; Magnoliopsida; Solanales; Solanaceae. The record is from RNAcentral.
UCAGAAUCACAAGUAAAAGGGAUUGCAAGUUCAACUACAUACUCAUAAUGGUCUGAAAGCCUAAGUUCCCAAAGUGGAACCCUAAUACCAUUUACCCAAAGAAAAACCCCCAAAUCCUUGGGUUUCAAAUUGAGCCAGACAAUAGAGGUGAGAAAACAGUUCAUUGAAAGAGGCUUAGAAGUCUCUUUCAGAGACAAACAUACACAAGCAAGUUCAGAAGAAAGAUAUGAUACGAGUUUUUAAAGAACACUUGAGAAAAAGAUGCUUAGUAGAAACACGAACAAAGUUUAGUAAAGUGAAAAAAAAUCACAGGAGUCAACAAUAAACACAUAUAGAAAAGAGUAAGGAAAACAACACCAAUUAAUAUGCGAGCAUAGGAAUAACAACAAAAGAUAGAAAAGUCUUGCAUAAUAGAAAAGAAACAAGAGAGCAAACUUAUGCGUAAUAAAAGGGAAACCUACAAGAACAAAACAAACGUAAACGUAGAACAGGAAGAAUCAAAAAAAUAUUUGAAGAAAACUUUUUAGAAACCCUAAAUCGAAAGUGAACGGUUUUUUUAAAAAUGAAAUUUUGGGAACACCUUUAAAAAGUCAAGUAAAGCCAAGCAUGGCAUAUAUCUAAGAAAGAUAAGCAAGUACAGAACCUCAGAUGGCUUAGAGUUGCAGAGAAAACCCUAGAAUGAGAAAGGUCUUGAGGAAAGUCGGAACCUGAGUCGAAAAGAUUCAUAUUGCUUGAACAUGCGGGAAUAACGGCCGGAGAGGCCAUAGAACUGCAUAUCUGAGAAAGAUCUAAAGAGAACCAUUGAAUUCUGGCUUCAGAACCUCGAGUAGCUUAGGUUUAAUGCUGAGAGAAAGUAAGUACAAGCCAUCCAUGGCCUGGAAUGCCAUAGAUUCCGGUUGAAUCAUGGUGGAAUGAGGUGGGAAUCGAUUAGGGUUUCGAAGAGGCUAGAGAGAGUUUGAGAGAUGGAGUAGGUUCAAAGGCAG